UACAGAGGGUGCAAGCGUUAAUCGGAAUUACUGGGCGUAAAGCGCGCGUAGGUGGUUUGUUAAGUUGAAUGUGAAAUCCCCGGGCUCAACCUGGGAACUGCAUGCAAAACUGGCAAGCUAGAGUAUGGUAGAGGGUGGUGGAAUUUCCUGUGUAGCGGUGAAAUGCGUAGAGAUCGGGAGGAACACCAGUGGCGAAGGCGGCUACCUGGACCAGCACUGACACUGAGGCACGAAAGCGUGGGGAGCAAACAGG
This 253-nucleotide ribosomal RNA is filed under the name uncultured bacterium. Its description in RNAcentral is "partial 16S ribosomal RNA". It matches the Rfam family "Bacterial small subunit ribosomal RNA", at positions 524 to 776 of the family's 1533-position model. The record is from RNAcentral.